GUGCACCAGUCGCGAAUACUUUACAAUGUGCGAAAGCACGAUAAGGGAACUCUGAGUGCCUCCUAAGGAGGCUGUUCAGGUGUCUAAAAGCACCUGGAGUAAGGGCUGGGUAAGACCGGUGCCAGCCGCCGCGGUAACACCGGCAGCCCAGGUGGUAGCCACUUUUAUUGGGUCUAAAGCGUCCGUAGCCGGUUGAGUAAGUUCCUUGGGAAAUUUGGCUGCUCAACAGUCAAGCUUCCAGGGAAUACUGCUCGACUUGGGACUGGGAGAGGUCAGAGGUACUCCAGGGGUAGGGGUGAAAUCCAUUAAUCCCUGGGGGACCACCGGUAGCGAAGGCGUCUGACCAGACCAGGUCCGACGGUGAGGGACGAAGGCUAGGGUCGCGAACCGGAUUAGAUACCCCUGUAGU
This 409-nucleotide ribosomal RNA is filed under the name uncultured microorganism. RNAcentral's name for it is "bacterial SSU rRNA". It matches the Rfam family "Archaeal small subunit ribosomal RNA", at positions 330 to 745 of the family's 1478-position model. The record is from RNAcentral.